Non-coding RNA from Hydra vulgaris (swiftwater hydra), 1826 nucleotides. Lineage: Eukaryota; Metazoa; Cnidaria; Hydrozoa; Anthoathecata; Hydridae. The record is from RefSeq and is a predicted model, not a curated record.
AAUUUAUGUAAGUUUUAAUAGUGAGCUUUUGGACAAAACGGCGAAAGAUAAUAGCUGAUGUUGAAUAUUGCCUAAAAGAUCUAACCAUUAAAUCAAGCAAUAUUUCACAUUCACCAGAAGAACUACAAUCAUUGUAUUUAAAAAGUAUAUCAGAUCAAAAACUUUCAACUGAGAGUGUUAUUCCCUCAGGUGCAAAUAAUAUUGAUUGUGAAGUGAACUCUGACAGUAAUCAAUUCAUAUUAAAUAUUGGCAUUAGACAAGAUAAUAGCUGUGGCAAGUAAAGGAGGCCAGACUUUAAAGGAGGCUGUCCAGAGAAUGUCUUUUGCGUUAUUCACUAAUAACCUCUGCUGUAAACUUAACUGGUCUGGUAUUACUAUAAAUGACAAUGAAAGUAACUUUGUAAAACAAAGACUUACACUUGCUUAAAAGAGCUGUAAAAAGAAAUCCUGCAACAACUUCAGCAACUGAAUCAGAUUUUCAAUAUGAGGUUGUGCGUUUAUUGCGUGGUGCAUCAGACCGCAAUGGUGGAAAAAAAGUUAGACAAGACCAAAAAAACAAACAAGCCAAGAAAAAAGUGAUGCCUACAUCAAGUUUUCCAAUGCCAUUAAAUAAAGAGGGAUUUUUUAGUUCAGAUGAAUAAUAUUGUUAAAUAAAAUAAGCAUCUUUAUUUACAAAUUUGUUAUCUUUAUUUUAUUGAAAACUAUUUUAUAUAUUUUUAAAUAUUUUAAUUUUUAAACUCUAUAGAGUAAAGUUUUUGUGCAAUGAGUAUUACUGUUUCUGUGUUUUUCAUAUUCAUUCCCUUUUACAGUAACCUUUUGUAUAUGAGAUUGUAGAUGAAAAUUUAAAUCGUGAUAUUGAAUCUUACCAGAGAAUAAAGAAACCGUUUACCUCAACCAGAGUUAUAUUUCAUAGAAUUAUGUUGACCAUGAUCCAAAUAUUGCCAUGGGUAUAAGAUAGAUGUUUGAUUUGCAAACUGGAUUUAAAUAAUAUUUUGUUUAAACAUAUUUAUUUGCUCUUUAUAUGCUUACAAAUAAUUUAUUAGAAAAAAUUACAUACUUAUUUACUAAACCGUUUUAUUUCAAUCAAUUAUUUGAUUUUUUAUAUUUUUCAAGGAGUUUUUAUAGUAUAUUAUAUUGGGCUGUGUUUUUUUUUUUGUAUGGUGAAGACUAUGAUUAAUUUACAAACUAUAUUUUAGUUUAUCAAAAUAUAUUUUUAUUGAUGUGUUUUGCCUCUGAUUCUUUCUUUUUCAGAUGUGUACUUGUGUCUUAGGCUUAUGCUUUGCAAAAGGUUCACAAUCGCCCUUAAGUUGCUGUGGGUUUUACGGUUUUACUUCCAACCUGACAUAUAAGCAUAUUUAAAGGAUUAGGUAUAAUAAGGUAGGUUACUGUAUAUGAAAUUUUAUUUUUUUAAAAAGGCACGCAAUAUGACUUUAUUUUUAUAUAGCUUUUUUUUAAAGUUAUUUCCAUAGCUUUUCAAUUUAAACAAUGUUUUUGUUGUUUUUCAUGUUUUAAAUUAUGCUUAAAAAAUAAAAUUAAAUUUAUAUUUAUUCAAUGUAGAUGCACUUAGUAUCUGAAGUUAUUUGUCAAUAACUGGUGAUCAGACUAUUUCAAACGAAUACGUUUUUAAGGGCUGAGAAGGCGAAAGAUAGAAGUCUGCAGACUGCAACGUAAAUCAAUUUUCAACACAUGGUUUCCUAAAUAUAUUUAGUUUUCGAUUGAAAUGAGAAUAAAUUGAACUUAUAGAUAUGUUGAAAAAUAACUAUUUUAUAUUUUAAACAUUCGCUAAACGCAAGUGAAGCAAUAAUCUAAAUAUGCAAUUAUACUUUA